Molecule: long non-coding RNA, 288 nt
Organism: Gossypium arboreum
Lineage: Eukaryota; Viridiplantae; Streptophyta; Magnoliopsida; Malvales; Malvaceae
Exons: 2
Source: RefSeq, a predicted model, not a curated record
GGUACCUUUUCUUGGCUGAUCCCUUUCGCUGUAUGGCGUACUCGUUUGGGUUGGGCGUUGGCUAAGAUUGCUCGGAGCGUGGAUUAACUCCAGUCUCCUAUUAGGUAAUCCCUAAGCUUAGAUGGUUUGGAGCUGCGAGGGACUCGGAGAUGGCCACACUACUAUUUCUUUUAAUUGUAAUAAGUAGCCGAUUUAUUUCUUUAUAAGUUUUAUCUUAUUAAUAUUAUUAUUUGGUUUUCGGUUGUAAUAAGGCCAUUUUAAUUAUUUUUCAGGGAUUAUUUUAUCUUA